CUGGAGUUCAGAAGUGUGGUUUUCAGAUGUAGAAUUUAGUGAUUGAUCACUUACACACAACACCUGGUGCUCAUCACAGACGUGGCCUCUGUAAUGCCCACCACCUAUUUAACCCAUCCCCCUGCCCACCUCCCCUCUAGUAACCCUAAGUUUGUCCUCUGUAGUUAGGAGUAUUAUUUCCUGGUUUGCCUCUCUUGCCCCCCCCCCCCCCAUGAUUUUAUUUUGUAAAAAUGUUUGUUAGGUUUAUUCUUGACUAUCGUCAUUUUAUUGCUGUCAUGAUUAGGAUCUUUUAGAGUUAUAUUUCUAAUUGAUUCUUGCUAUGGUAUAGAAAAGUUAUUGGUAUAGAAAACAUGUAGGUUUUUGUUGAUUGCCGUACUGAGCUCUUUUGUUCAUUCUCCCAUAGACUGCUUUGGAUUUUCUUUCUUUCUUUCUUUCUUUCUUUCUUUCUUUCUUUCUUUCUUUGAGAGAGAGGGCACAAGUG
Long non-coding RNA from Herpailurus yagouaroundi (jaguarundi), 481 nucleotides. RefSeq lists it as uncharacterized. NCBI's taxonomy places the organism in Eukaryota, Metazoa, Chordata, Mammalia, Carnivora, Felidae. The transcript has 3 exons. The record is from RefSeq and is a predicted model, not a curated record.